UUUUAGUUCUCCCCAUUUAUAUCGAGACGGACGGAGUAGAAUUUUUCACAAUUUCAUGGCAAAACCACCUUUACCUUGUUAUACCAAUAGUGCAAGAAGCUGCACCGCAAGAAUACGGUGGAAGUAGAGUGUAAUCGACACGGACGUGAUAUAUUUUGUUUUUUUCAUCAAAAAUCCGAUCAAUUCCAUUGCUCAAAUCCAUUUAACUAACCUAAGAAAUCAUCGAAUUACUAACAAAAAAGAACACAGAAAAGAACAAAUGGGUUCAUCACCAAGAGUUCAAUCGUACCUGUUGAAACUGGGAGGAAUACGGAAACCCAUGAAGAUUCUAUCUGCAAUUUUGGUGGUGCUAGUGGUAACUUGUUCGAUGAGAAAUUCAAAUACCCAUUUUCCAUCGAAAUGAUCACAAAUUUCAGGAGGCCUUUCACUUUCUUCAAUAAUCUUCUUGGAACUGUGAAGAAGUUAAUAUGGAUAUAGUUGUUGAAGAUCUUCCAUCAUUUUUAAAAAGGUUUAGUACCUUGCAAAACCUAUACCAACUUGAACAACAUUUAGCUGAUGAGAAUGUAAGGCUUGCUUUGAAAGCGGCUUUAGACAAUGCUGAUACAGAACUGGUUCAGUCUCACGUAAAGACAGUUGGGGACAUCAAGCGCUCCCUCUCUGAAUUUUGAAAAACAACAACAAGAUGGAGUGAUGGAGGCCAAAAGGUGUUCUAACUGUGGAAAAAUUAAAAAGCUCAAGACCGCAGCGGCGAAGGUGAUGACUGAACUAGAUGUCAUACAAAGAUUUAAAGCUGCUGAUCAUAUAGGGGAUGAUAAAGUUCUUUGAAGGAAAGAAAUGAAAAACCGAGUCAGAGCAUUAUGGUCAGCCUCAACUGGUUCUCAAACUCAAACUACAAACUCCAUGGGGUCGUAUGCUAGUAGCGACGAGUUGGAUUCACCUCCACAUCAUGCUAUGCUGUUGGAUCACCGUCGCAUUAAUGGGUCCACAUCGUGCUAUGCUGUUGGAUCACGUAGCACCAGCAGUUCCACAUCAUCCAAUAGUUCCCAAGAGGAGGACUACCCAGCCAGAAGGAGGAGUCGAUAUUCCAAGGUCGAUCUACCACGUAGCACCAGCAGUUCCACAUCAUACAGUAGUUCCCAAGAGGAGGACUACCCAAUUAGAAGGAGGAAUCGAUAUUCCAAGGCUGAUCAACCAAAGAAAAAGGCGGGAUGUGUUAGAAGAUUUAUGGACAAGAUUGCAGGCAUGUUCCUUCAUGAUCGCUGUGAGGAUACAGAUGCAUCAUCAUCCGAGGAUAGUAAUUCACGAGAUCAUCAUCAUUCUGUUGAGAAACCUGUGGGCAAUGGUAUACUCCGCUAUGAAAGAAAAGACACAUGCGAAAGAGAAGAAAAACAUCAGUUAACAAGCCAAGGACAUUUCCAAACUUAUAGAAAGGCAUCAGACGGUACUUAGAACUGUAAGUUAAUGACGGCACCAAAAAUAUGCCUAGAAGUGUGCCUGUUAUCUUCUCUCCUUAUGUCAGACUGGAAAUUAUAAAGUGGGAUCUUUUCCACGAAGAAUUAAACAUCAAUUUCAUUUCUUUUAUGUUUUUCAACUCUUUCUAAAUUCUUAUCUUGCAAUUUCCUAGAAAUUUGUUCGGUUUCGACUAAGAGGUUUCUAUUGUUUGAUUGUGAUAAUUUGGGUGAUUCAGUCUUCAUGGCAAUUGCUUGUAUCCACACCUCUCUUUGCCAUAUUUUUCUAUUUUUGGAUUAUUCCUGUUUGAAGUCCCAAUUAUUGUUGUUUUUUAUCCUAAGACUAAAUAUCAUUCACUGAUUUUGAGUAAUGAAAUUGUGUUGCAGUGAUUCUAAUUAAACUGUUAAUUCAACUUGACAUUACUAUAGUCGAUGUUUAUAAGUGUAGUUGUUUUGUUUUUCUUGAUGAUGACUUAAGGAUCUGGUGGCAAGUACAUUUUCUGAUGGUGCAUUUCUUGGGUCCAUUGUAAGUGGUUUAUCAGAUGCUGUAGGGGUUUCCAGUUGAGUGCUUUAAUAUAGAUUCUUGGGCCUUUUCUAAGGUAAAAUCCUUGUGUUCUUAACUAUUUGAUUUCUUUUUUAUAUAAGUUCAAGUGAAGCUUAUUAGAAAAAAUUUCUUUGACCAUAUAUGCUUGCAUGGGGAGAAUGCAAAGCCUGAAAGGUAUGCUUCUUGGGAGGUUUCUAGUUGGAACAGGAAUAGGUAUUGGUCCGUCUGUUGCAUCUCUAUAUAGGACUGAGAUAUGCUUUUCGCUGAUCCAUCUGCAUUUCCUGCUCAAUAUUGGCUCUUGCAAUGGUGUCCUGUGGGGAGAGUCCUCAAUGGCUCAUAAGAUCAGUAUGUCAACCCUUAUUUUUGCCCUCCUAAGGGAUUCUCGUUUUCCUUUGAUCUACAUCUGUUUGCUACAUGUUUUUUUUGGCUCUCGACUGUCCUGUAAAAAUGUUCCGCAAUCUCUCCUAAUGUUUUGAAUGAGAAUUUCCUUGUUAAAAAACUUAAACCUUUUAAUUGUUAACAAUAUGUUUGAAACAAUCAAGACAGAGAUCUGCCAAUUCAGCUCUGCUCCAGACAUUAUCUAGUCUUAACUCCUUUGCACGUUUGUUCUGAUAGUUAUAUCCAUGACCCAUUUGAAUUCAACACAAAUAUAUCUUGGUUUCUAUUGGGGUGGAACAGAAAAGUAGAUCCGCCGAGGCGGAAGCUGAAUUUGAGAAGCUCUUGGGAGGAUUGCACGUCAAAUCUGCGAUGACAGACCUAUCAAGUCAGAGGAGAUGAGGUAGACACUGUAAAGUUUUUGAAGUUAUUAUAUGCCGCCACUUCAGAGGUAUCUGUGAAAAUUCUUCGCUCAUUCAUUUUCUCUGUUAGAAUAUGUAGUGUGAUUCUUGUUAUUUCAUUUUAGAUUACUCGUUCAUUUUUCCCUUUUGCCAGUUGUUCUUAUUGGAUCAGUGUUACUCACUUUUUAUCAAUCACUCGAAGCCAUAUAUAUAAAAAUUAAUACCAGAUCUUUGUAAGUUCCUGUAAAAGGCCUCAGUAAAUGUUAAUUAAGACUAAAGAUACUUUUGGCAAACGGGAGAUAAUCGCGAUUCAUGAAAUUGUUGUAUGAAACUUCUUCUGCAGCUGUAUUCGAUCCAUCACUGAAUACAAAGCUCGUCCCUGAUUGUUGAAUUUAUUCCAGCUUUUUGUCUUUAGGAACUGCAGGUAUUGGUGUUGUUUAGAAGUUCUGCUAGAUACUUGUUAUUGGAAUGGAAGUACUUGAAAUUGAUAUAACUGGUGUAAUGUUAGCAAUGCAUGUUUUCAUCUAGCAAUCUAUCUAAAUUGUAAAAUAUCUUGUUGUUAAAUUUAUUUGUUCCCUGCAUUGAGUAACUUGUUUUAAAUUGUGAAUUCAUGGAAGUGGUGGAGUGCGUCAAGCACCCAGGGAAGUUUGCACGCCUUGGAGGAAAGCUGCUCAAGGGAAGAUUCAGAAUUUGAGGAAUUGUAAGUCUGCAAUUCUGCACGAUCUGUUCAGAUUGAAAUUUACUCAUUGGAUUUGUGCAUGAAACUUAUUCUUAUCAUAGUGGAGGGUAUGCCAAUGGAAUCUCUGUGUGAAGCAAAAUAAAAGGAAGAGGGAGAAAAUAUCAGAAGCGUAGCCGCAAACACUGUAUAUGAUAUAUCUUGGAGCCACAAAAGCUGCAGUAGUUGACGCUGGCAGAAUGGUCUCGACGAGAAAAAAUAUACUAAACUAUUAAAAUUUAGUUCUAUGCCACACUGCAAUGAACCAUGGAAGCUUAACUUUUUUACAACAGAAAGAAACUUGUACUGCCUACUGUCCUGUGCAAAUUUUUAGCUUUCAGAAAAUCUCAAACAAUUUUUUGGCAGGGAUAAAAGCUUUUCAAAGAGA
This is a long non-coding RNA of Papaver somniferum (opium poppy), 3871 nucleotides long. RefSeq lists it as uncharacterized. The transcript has 6 exons. NCBI's taxonomy places the organism in Eukaryota, Viridiplantae, Streptophyta, Magnoliopsida, Ranunculales, Papaveraceae. The record is from RefSeq and is a predicted model, not a curated record.